RNAcentral lists this unclassified non-coding RNA (411 nucleotides) under Hevea brasiliensis (rubber tree). Lineage: Eukaryota; Viridiplantae; Streptophyta; Magnoliopsida; Malpighiales; Euphorbiaceae. The record is from RNAcentral.
CAGAUCACCAGCAUGACGAUUCUCAUCCUCAGGGCCACCGUGAUCUUUGCUAGCAGGGUUGAAAUGUAGCCCUGCAAAAGUUGAGCAUGGAGAAUUUCACAUAAAUGGAAGCAGAUUUAGUCAACUGAGCAAUAAGCAUGUAGAGAAGAAAAUUUUCCCUGCCAGUUAACAAUACCAGUCGACAAGCAGCCAUUUGUUGUGUCUCCAAAGGUAUGAACAUGGAAACCAUGAAGCCCCGGCUUAAGGCCAGAAACACUUCCAGUUACGGUGGUUGGACCAUCUCCUUCUUGGGUGAAGAAGAUUUUCCCGCUAAUGCCCUCACUGCUGGUAAUAACAGCAACGGCCUUCAACAUUGUUCUAUGUGAUCUAAAGAUGAAAAUUAAAAAGCUGCAAAUAAGGUGGAGGAGAGAG